UAGUCCACGCCGUAAACGAUGUCAACUAGCCGUUGGGAGCAUUUAAGCUCUGAGUGGCGCAGCUAACGCGAUAAGUUGACCGCCUGGGGAGUACGCCGGCAACGGUAAAACUCAAAUGAAUUGACGGGGGCCCGCACAAGCGGUGGAGCAUGUGGUUUAAUUCGAUGCAACGCGAAGAACCUUACCUACUCUUGACAUACUGAGAACUUUCCAGAGAUGGAUUGGUGCCUUCGGGAGCUCAGAUACAGGUGCUGCAUGGCUGUCGUCAGCUCGUGUCGUGAGAUGUUGGGUUAAGUCCCGNAACGAGCGCAACCCUUGUCCUUAUUGCCAUCAUUAAGUUGGGCACUCUAAGGAGACUGGCCGGUGACAAACCGGGAGGAAGGUGGGGACGACGUCAAGUCAUCAUGGGCCCUUA
This 415-nucleotide ribosomal RNA is filed under the name uncultured bacterium. RNAcentral describes it as "bacterial SSU rRNA". It matches the Rfam family "Bacterial small subunit ribosomal RNA", at positions 791 to 1204 of the family's 1533-position model. The record is from RNAcentral.